Molecule: long non-coding RNA, 665 nt
Organism: Humulus lupulus (European hop)
Lineage: Eukaryota; Viridiplantae; Streptophyta; Magnoliopsida; Rosales; Cannabaceae
Exons: 2
Source: RefSeq, a predicted model, not a curated record
UUUGAGACCCACAUUAAUAUAAGCAACAUUUUUAGCACUUGCAUUAUUGAUACUCUUACAACGGUUGCUUAUCUCCAAGUUAAACUUCCAAAAGUGAAAAAACCUCCUAGCUCUUAACCUUGAGAGAGGGUGACAUUUUCCUUCGUCUGUGCUCGAUCUUCGGCUUCCACGGCCACACCAUGGAAGGUGGGAAGAGAGAAACGGCAACGGGGCCAUCAUCGGGGAGCUCUUCAUCUCAUGCUACAGGAAAUAGAGAAAUUCAUAAGGAAAUGAGUGAAAAACUAAGUGUGGUUGUGAGCUUCGACUAGAUGAAGAUCAAAUGAGAGUACUCUUUUUAGGGUUUGUUCAUGGGCUUCUGCUUUCAUUCAAGAAGCAAAUUGAGAAGGUGCUAAAUCAUCUAUUUGACCUUGCUGGCAUUAUGUAUGGGCAAUUUGGAAUUCCAUCUUUGAAAUUUUUUCUUCCUUUCUCUUGUACUCUCCUGCUGACGGUUUUCAUCAUCAGAGUUUGCAAUAAUCAAUUUCUGAAUUGGAUAGAAAAUGAAUUGAUUUGACUUCUCAGUUUCAUCCCGACACUAGAAGAAGAAGAAAGUCAUUCUCUAUUUUAGUUUUGUGCAAAAUUAUGGUAAAAUUUUUGUUUUGAAUGAAAAUAUUAUUUUUAUUUUUGUA